CAAUCCUGGAUUUCCUCGCGUCGACAUGUGAGUUCAGGAUGACGGUGGAUAACCGUUGGUUGCACUUUGGCAGCGCAUGUUGAUCGUCCGACCCAUGGUGUUACACCGCCUCGUGGGUGAUUCGAAAAUGGCAAUAAACGAGCCUCAGCUAUGUUCCAGCUUUAGAUAACAGCAAAGACAAAAUACCAAGUCCUCGUAAGCGAUUAACCCACGCCGCCUUCAAUCCCCUUAAACUGACAAGGUUUACCACCUCUUUGACUUCUCUCACCGAUACUGAUACCGGGGAGGGUCGUAUUAGAGUUCGUUUUUAUUGUAACAGCUUCUUGAACGGAGUGAACUGCAAAUGGGCAGGGGAAGCAAGAAUGCCGUUAAAGUCCAACUGUAUAGUGAAAUAUGAAAGCACGUGGAAAAAGGCAAGGAAUUGAAGACAAAUCUUGUAGUAUUCGAGGUGAAUUUACUUACAACUUAAAAGAUGCCCAGGAAUGUUGUCUUAAUAUGCUGAAGAUUGCAGGUUAUAGGUCACUGAAAUGGAAUACAAAUUAAAGAGCUGGGAACCUCAUCGCUCUCCUCGUUCACCUAGUUUCUACAUUUUUCAGUACGGAUAUAUGAUGUACAUGAGAUUGUUUCCCCGACAAAAUGUUUUCACUCAUUUUGACCUAACUAAGGGAGAUUAUGACGAGGCCUUAGAGUGGCCAUUUAUUUUGAUACGCCGAGUCUAUUCUUGACCAAGCAUCUCCAUUUCAAGACAUAGUUUCAAGAGUUUGGGAUCCAAAGCACACAGGGAACCUCGUACGUUUUGUCCAUAUGCCAACAAGUGUCAUUCGGAAAAAAUCCUCAUUCUUUUUCGGAGAUUUGGUUACUGGUUCAAGGAUUUCGGUUACUGAUUCAAGAUUGCCGGGUAUAGAAAAAAAAAAUCCAGCCCUUGACUAUUGACGAUGAAAAGAAUCCAAAGACAACCACUGCCCUUUUUUUACAACUAAAGAUACGUCGUAAAUUUCCUGAAGGAAAAUUUGCUUAGACUUCCCAAUUUACCUGCACGUGAACAUCUGAUGGCGUUACAAGACGUAAAGCCAUCGAAUAUCGUAUAGCUGGGGAAAAAGCUGUUUUUGAAAAACAUGAAACGGAAACAAGGCGACAGUCCGAUAGUCACAGAUUUUGACGUUUCUGUGGAUAGUGCUUGGGGAAUAGAAACCACAUUAGACGUAAACGAAUCAGAUGACCUGAUGCUGUUGCAAAUGCAAAUAAUGCAGAGUUACAUUUGUGUACCAUGUACGUGUAUACCAUUAGCUGAGCAUCGUAGAACUAAAUUUUGUAGGUGUCGUUAAGAUAAGCUGUUCACUCUGCGUUGAAAUGAUUGGAUGCAAUUGGGUCAUGUGCAGUCAUUGUUGGAAGUGAUGGAAGAUUGUUACGGAACGGGAAAGAAGCGGAUGGUAGGAGUUGGCUGAGUGACCGAAAUUCUUCUAUAUUUAAUUUUCUCACGUUUACCGUUUAUAAAAAAACAUUAUGUAUUGGUUUCAUUGUUUUCCUGUAUUCAGUGACUAGAAAAUCGCUAAGGUGUUUUUUGGAAAGGGGGGAGGGGAGGGUUUGUAAAGGCUUAUGUAGGGCUCAAUCUCGGUGCAUCAAUGUACUUAUUAUUAAAGUAACUUAUUUCCAGAAGAUUCUGACGCCACUAACAUGUAAUGUAUGUAUAAACAAUAAAAUCUAUUUUGAAUAAA
Long non-coding RNA from Daphnia carinata, 1715 nucleotides. RefSeq lists it as uncharacterized. NCBI's taxonomy places the organism in Eukaryota, Metazoa, Arthropoda, Branchiopoda, Diplostraca, Daphniidae. The record is from RefSeq and is a predicted model, not a curated record. The transcript is spliced from 15 exons.